AGUAAUAAGCACACAUUAACAGUGUUAAAAGGAGUAUGCCAGUUGCUACUAGAAAAUAUCCAGGUGUUGCCUGUGCUUAGGUUACCUAGGAAAAUAGGUGUCUUACGUUUUCCUAUCACACAGUGGCAAACAUUUCUCCUUCAUCCACCUGCUGAAUUGUUCAUAUAUCUUGCAUUCAUCUGCACCCCAUCUCCAAAAGGAGUCGAGGAAGCAACUCAUGAAACUUGAGCAAGUUCACUUCCCAGGGCUUUUGCAAGUAUCUGCUUGAAUUAAUGUUGGUAAACAAAAUAACCAAAUGUAGUUUUGAAACAAACACUUGCAGUAAUAACUUCAAAGAUCCAGCUAGAUCAUAGCUUCCCAGUCAGUAUAGCUUAGAUUUCUCCUGAAAACAAAACUGUGUACAUGAUGAAAAACAAGAAAACCCUUCUCACAGAAAUGAACCAACAGGAUAACUGAUAAAGACCCUUCACAGGCAUCUCUCCGCAAUAAGGGUGUGGCUUCUCCCCUGUCCUGUCUGAAGGUUUGUUUCCCCAGAAUUCUGAGAGCCUCCACCCGUCUCUCCAGAAGUCUCUCAUCCCUGGGCUGGAAUCCUGAACCCCUGGCCUCAGCUACAAGGUAACAAUGGAAUAUAUGUUUAGCAUGAAAGUUCUCUACAAAAAGUUAUUUCAGAUUUAAAAGUCCAAAUCUUCAAACGUAUGCUUACCUUAAUUGUGACUCAAAACCAAUACUCUUUUGAUGACUUAAAGCCAAUAACUCUUUCUUGGCUUAACUAUGGAUGCAAGAGAUGCCCCCCAAGAGGGUGCAAAAGGUGCAGUCCUCCCAAGAUCCAGAAAGUUUACUCCCAGAAUUAGUCUAAGAAAGCAAGGACCCUUUUUGCUAUAGACAGUAAGAAUAGUGUUUGUGAAAACAGAGUCUCUCCCACAGGAAUGUGAGAUGCCUCCAGCCACAGACCCACUAAUCUGUGGCAUCAGGUGGGCAAUACCAGGAUGAGGGGUUUCUAGCACUUUGAAGUUAAUGGAGAUUGACACAAGAAAGGGUCCUCAUGGCCUGGGAUCUCUUAUUAAGACGAGUUUCCCUGAGAGCUGGCACAGUUGGACAAACAGAAUGCUGCUGGUCAUUUUUUAUCUUGGGCUCCCAGCCUGAUUGGUGGCCACCUGAUAGAAGCCAACACUUGCUCCCCCUGGUGGGUGGAAGCCACCGAGAAUAUUCUCCCUGCUCACAAUGCCAAGUUCUCAGGAUGUAAAGAAUCUCAUCUUAUGGUUUUCCUCCUCAUGGCAAACAACACAAAAGACAGAGAAAAGGAAAUAAGGACUACUCCUGGGAGGCCAUGGAUCAUACCCAGGCCAAAUUCAUGAAUCACGAUUCAAAAAAACUCAUUCUUACAAAUAUUUUCUUUCCUGCCAAUCUGAACUUGGAAAGGAAGGGACAAGGAAAAUAUUUUGCCAUCCUUUCUCUACUGGGAACUGCAGACAGAGAAACGGGAGAGCUGACUUUGGUAAGAAUUCUCACCUUCUGCCCACACUUCUCAGCUCUGCCAGGAUGCUGUCCACAGGCUCUGGAGUGAGUGGGCUCCCAGCCUCUCGGGAUCCCAUCUUCAUCACCAGAAACUGUACAGGAGGCAACAUUUUGCCUCUACCCUCUUAGGGAAUGUGGCUGGGCCUGAAAAUUAAAUUCACAUAUGAAAGAUUAACAAGAGAAAAACAUAAAGACUUUUACAUGUACCUGGGAGCCCCUAUAGGAAAAUAAAGACCUAAAGAAGUGGCAUAACCUAAAUGCUCAUGUGGUAGGUUGAACAAAGAGUGACCAGUGUGGGAAAAUAAUUCAAUUAUGUAUGGAGGCAAAGGAAGGUCAGAACUAUUUUAACAAGGUGUGCCUGUACAGAAUUCUCUUGGCUAUUACUCCUGUCAAAGAAUAUUUUUUUCCUCCUGUUACAAAGAAAGCAUCUUUCACAUGGGAUUAUCAUCUCCUGUUCUUAGGAAGAAAAAUAGAUUUGAAUGUCCUUCUUGCAUCUGCCAUUUUCAAGUGCCUUUAGCUCAAAAUUAUCCUUAUGCCAAAGUGUUAUAUUUGAGGGUGGCAUAUUCUUCCAUCCCUCAGUACCUUUGAGCAAACAGGGCCUUGGUGUCUAGACCUCCCGGGUUCUGGCACUGGUAGCAGCCACAAUUGCCCACACCAGCUUCCCACAGUAACCUGUUCAGGAAUGAGGGAGGAAAAAUGUUUCUGUCCUAAGUGUGUUACUCUGUUGCUGAAUUCCCUGAAUAGCUGCACCCCACCUUACCCCAUAUUUUAUAGAGUUAGAUGAAGAGCUUUUUCAUCUUUUACUUGCCAUCAUCCUCUUCCUCUUCCUCUCCUCUCUAUAAGCAUGAGGUCAGGCUGUACUAAUUGGAACAAGGGAGACUCUACCGCACUGACAAUCAUGGGUACCAGCUCAGAGGCACUGAGAACCACCUCUCUCUAGGCUGCAAUGUGGAAAAUGCCUAACAUACCGUACUGGAGACUGCACAGUGGGAAGAAGGUCACCAGAACUAUCAACCCAAACAGGAUACAAAAUGGAGUGUACACUAUGAUUACAACACUGCUAAACUAUAUCUGCUGAUGGACUAACACUGGAAAUGAAUAAGCAAAAGUGAGAACAACUGUGUGAAGUGAUGUGUUGAAGAUUAUUCUCCAUGUUGACUUCUUUGAAGGCUCUACCAUUAUUUGUUUUAUUGACUUUCUAGAAGCAUUGUGCCUAGGAGAUUCCAAUUUUCUAAAAGCUUCAAGUACAAUUUGACAAAUAUUCACUGAAUACCUGCCAUGUAUGGGCACUGUGCUAGUUGCUAUGCAGGAAACAAAGAUGUGUAAGUGACCAUUCUAACAGGAAGAGAAAUGUGUACACAUUUUUUGAGGGCAGAAAGAACAGACUAGGAGAAGGGUCCACUGGUUUCUACCCUGGUAGCAUAUUAGAAUCAUCCAGACAACUUUUAAUAAAUGCUGAUGCCCAAGCCUGUGCCCAGAGAUGGGGGUUGCAUUGGUCUGGUGUCUGGCCUCAAAACUGACCAUUUUUAAAGCUCCAAUGUGAUUAUAAUGAGAAGUCAGGGUUGAGAAUCACCAAGUUAGACCUUCUGCUCUAACACUGAUUGAGCUGUUUGACAGAGAACUGACAGACUCUCAAAUUCAAUAUUUAAAACAAUCCUUUUACAAAUCAAUUAUUUAAUCAAAAAUUAUAGACUAGGCAUGGUGACUCAGUACUGAGCACCUGUAAUCCUAGCACCUGAGCAACUCUAAUCUUAGCACUUUGG
Microcebus murinus (gray mouse lemur) is the source of this 3278-nucleotide non-coding RNA. Lineage: Eukaryota; Metazoa; Chordata; Mammalia; Primates; Cheirogaleidae. The record is from RefSeq and is a predicted model, not a curated record.